CCUGUUCCACGCGAUGUGCUUGGGGUCGAUACCGUGCCUUCGGGACUGCCGGGUCGGGAGCCGUGUCCGGGAUCCCCUGUGGUGCAGUUAAUGCUUUUUUUUGGUGUGUUUUAAGGUACCCGUGUGACGCGAGUGCUGCUGGAUUGGCCACAUCCCGGAAUGAGACACAUUCUCUGGGCUGCACCCAGAGUAUUCGCAGCCCUGGACAGGCCAUGAGGCUUUGGGCUGUGCAGGUUGGACAUUCCCGGACAUGACCUUGGCACCAGAACCCCAGCCUGGAUGAGCCAUGUCUGUCCCUGCACAAGGAUGGACACAUGGAUGGGCAGAGGAACCCCAGCCAUGCUGGGCUGUGUAGAGCCCCAGAAGUAGCAGGGCUGCCUGUGGUGAGGCUGAUGCUUCCACCUGCCCUGUGACAGUGUGAGGAGUGCAUGGCUCCAGGACGGACAUGGCCACAGACUGGGGGUUUGGGCCCUGUUUUGCUUUUGGGUUCAUUUUUGGGUUGGGUUUGGUUGGUUUGGGUUGUGUUUUACUUGUUUUGAUGUUGCUUGUUUGACUUGGGUUUGGGUUGGUUUGUGUGUUGGUUCAGGCUUCCAUUUCUUUCAGGCCCAGCUCCUGUUCAUUUGCAGCUCCUGCUGGUUAUGGUUCAGCUCCAGCUCACAGACAGCUCUGACUAGUUUGAGCUCCCAGGAGCUAAUUGUGCCACAUCUGUCCUUUCACAGGACAGAGGAGCCUCAGCCACAGUGUGUGGUGUGUGAAGUCCCAAGAAGCAGCCGGGCUGCUGCCUUGACACUGCAGCUGCCCUGACACUGCUGCUGCCCUGCCUGCGGUGCUCCAAGCACUGUACAGCACCAGCUUGGACACAGCUCCAGCCACAGCUCCUGAACAGCUCCAGUUCAGUUUUGGCUACAGCUCCUGUUGCUUUCUCUCUGGGUUGAGGUCCAUCUUCCAGAUGGCUCCAGCUCAUUUGCAGCUUCAGGCCCAGGCCCUGGAUAGCUCCGGUUCCGUUGUGGCUGCAGCUCAUGUCCACUUCUAGCCCUGUUUGCUGCUUCAGCUGCAGCCCCAGUCAGUUACAGCUUGUGCUUGUUGAACUGAGGCUGACCUGGGGCCAGGUCAUAAAUCAGUCACUGUCACGACAUGUAGAUGAAUAUAACCUGUCAUAAUUGCUCACUGUCCAGUUCUGGGCUAACAACCCCCCAGAACUGUGGUUGUAUAUGCCUUGAGUAAAUAAAAAG
Molecule: long non-coding RNA, 1232 nt
Organism: Melopsittacus undulatus (budgerigar)
Lineage: Eukaryota; Metazoa; Chordata; Aves; Psittaciformes; Psittaculidae
Exons: 3
Source: RefSeq, a predicted model, not a curated record